This is an RNA transcript of Passer domesticus (house sparrow), 1184 nucleotides long. It is a transcript of the gene named ADP ribosylation factor like GTPase 3, with no coding region annotated. Lineage: Eukaryota; Metazoa; Chordata; Aves; Passeriformes; Passeridae. The transcript has 7 exons. The record is from RefSeq and is a predicted model, not a curated record.
GGCGGGCCCGUGUCUGGCCCCGCCCCCGGCGCGGGCACGUCGGCGCGCGGGGUGGGUGUGACGCAGUUGCCCAUGGUAACCGCGGGCCGCGCCGAGGAUGGGUUUACUGUCAAUCCUGCGCAAACUAAAAAGCACCCCAGACCAGGAGGUGAGAAUCCUCCUCUUGGGACUGGAUAAUGCAGGCAAGACCACGCUCCUGAAACAGCUGGCAUCAGAGGACAUCAGCCACAUCACCCCAACACAGGGCUUCAACAUCAAAAGUGUACAGUCUCAAGGCUUCAAACUGAACGUAUGGGACAUAGGCGGACAGAGGAAGAUCAGACCAUACUGGAGGAACUAUUUUGAAAACACAGAUAUCCUUAUCUAUGUCAUUGACAGUGCAGAUAGGAAGAGGUUUGAAGAAACAGGUCAGGAGCUAGCUGAGCUUUUGGAUGAGGAGAAGCUCAGCGGAGUCCCCGUGCUGAUAUUCGCGAACAAGCAGGACUUGCUGACGGCUGCCCCCGCGUCGGAGAUUGCCGAGGGACUGAACCUGCACACAAUCCGGGACAGAGUCUGGCAGAUCCAGUCUUGUUCAGCUCUUUCGGGAGAGGGAGUACAGAUGCUACAGAGCAGUUCAGGAUAGUGAGAUCUCAAGCUGAGUAUGAAGAGUCACAGAAGCAGCCCUCCAUGCUGAGUGGGCAGUAAAAUGGCAGAUGAAAUUCAGCGUUGACAAGUGCAAAAUAAUGCACAUGAGAAACAACAAUCCUAAUUAUACGACGAAGGACUCAAAAUUAGCUGCCAUUACUCAGAAGCAGAUCCUUGGGAACAGAGCUCAUCAAAGGCCAGAGAGGAAAAUUCAAACACUGGACAAUUACAAGAAAGCAAAGAAGAAACAUCUUUUCUAGCAGGACGGCAUGAACUGGGUGUGCAAAAAUGUCAGUACUAAGAAGAAGUAAAGCGUUCUGAGCUGCAUGGAAAUGGAGGAGCGGUGGGAGCAGAAUUCUAGCCUGAAAACACUAAUUUGCUGCUUUCUGACCAAAUGUUUUUCCAUCUGUGCACAGCUACAGCUGUUAAAAGAAAAAAAAAAAAAAGAGAGAGAGAAAAGGGAGCAACAUUGGUUUAAACCUACUGCUGGAUUUGGAACUUGACCUGCUCUUUAGUAUCAUUUUUUUAUCCCAAUAAAGGAAUUACAUAUUUCCUCCCUA